GCUCCUGUGGCGGAAUUGGAAGACGCGGUCGGCUUAAACCCGAUUAUUAAAUUGUGGGUUCGAUUCCCACCAGGAGUA
This 78-nucleotide transfer RNA is filed under the name Coleofasciculus sp. LEGE 07081. Its description in RNAcentral is "tRNA-Leu". It matches the Rfam family "tRNA". Rfam says of the family: Transfer RNA (tRNA) molecules are approximately 80 nucleotides in length. Lineage: Bacteria; Bacillati; Cyanobacteriota; Cyanophyceae; Coleofasciculales; Coleofasciculaceae. The record is from RNAcentral. RNAcentral also lists the same sequence under 1 other name.